UACGUAGGGUGCAAGCGUUGUCCGGAAUUAUUGGGCGUAAAGAGCUCGUAGGCGGCCUGUCACGUCGGCUGUGAAAACCCGGGGCUCAACCCCGGGCCUGCAGUCGAUACGGGCAGGCUAGAGUUCGGCAGGGGAGACUGGAAUUCCUGGUGUAGCGGUGAAAUGCGCAGAUAUCAGGAGGAACACCGGUGGCGAAGGCGGGUCUCUGGGCCGACACUGACGCUGAGGCGCGAAAGCGUGGGGAGCGAACAGG
Molecule: ribosomal RNA, 253 nt
Filed under: uncultured bacterium
Lineage: Bacteria
Description: partial 16S ribosomal RNA
Rfam family: Bacterial small subunit ribosomal RNA
Source: RNAcentral